CUACGGGAGGCUGCAGUGGGGAAUAUUGCACAAUGGGCGCAAGCCUGAUGCAGCCAUGCCGCGUGUAUGAAGAAGGCCUUCGGGUUGUAAAGUACUUUCAGCGGGGAGGAAGGGAGUAAAGUUAAUACCUUUGCUCAUUGACGUUACCCGCAGAAGAAGCACCGGCUAACUCCGUGCCAGCAGCCGCGGUAAUACGGAGGGUGCAAGCGUUAAUCGGAAUUACUGGGCGUAAAGCGCACGCAGGCGGUUUGUUAAGUCAGAUGUGAAAUCCCCGGGCUCAACCUGGGAACUGCAUCUGAUACCGGCAAGCUUGAGUCUCGUAGAGGGGGGUAGAAUUCCAGGUGGAGCGGUGAAAUGCGUAGAGAUCUGGAGGAAUACCGGUGGCGAAGGCGGCCCCCCUGGACGAAGACUGACGCUCAGGUGUGAAAGCGUGGGGAGCAAACAGGAUUAGAUACCCGAGUAGUC
RNAcentral lists this ribosomal RNA (465 nucleotides) under uncultured bacterium. RNAcentral's name for it is "partial 16S ribosomal RNA". It matches the Rfam family "Bacterial small subunit ribosomal RNA", at positions 339 to 795 of the family's 1533-position model. The record is from RNAcentral.